AGGCAGCAGUGAGGAAUAUUGGUCAAUGGGCGAGAGCCUGAACCAGCCAUCCCGCGUGCAGGAAGAGGGCCCUAUGGGUUGUAAACUGCUUUUACGCAAGAAGAAUGGUACCCUCGUGAGGGUAUUUGACGGUACUGCGUGAAUAAGCACCGGCUAACUCCGUGCCAGCAGCCGCGGUAAUACGGAGGGUGCAAGCGUUAUCCGGAUUUAUUGGGUUUAAAGGGUGCGUAGGCGGUAUUAUAAGUCAGUGGUGAAAUGUUGCAGCUUAACUGUAAAAUUGCCAUUGAAACUGCAGUACUUGAGUUAUCUUGAAGUAGGCGGAAUGUGUAGUGUAGCGGUGAAAUGCUUAGAUAUUACACAGAACACCGAUUGCGAAGGCAGCUUACUAAGGGUAAACUGACGCUGAGGCACGAAGCGUGUGGAUCGAACAUGAUUAGAUACCAUAUGGUAUGGACGGGGGCCCGCACAAGCGGAGGAACAUGUGGUUUAAUUCGAUGAUACGCGAGGAACCUUACCUGGGCUUAAAUGUGCUAUGACCGCUGGAGAAAUUCGGCUUUUCGCAAGAACAGAGUACAAGGUGCUGCAUGGUUGUCGUCAGCUCGUGCCGUGAGGUGUCGGGUUAAGUCCCAUAACGAGCGCAACCCUUAUUGUCAGUUGCUAACAGGUUAAGCUGAGGACUCUGGCGAGACUGCCACCGUAAGGUGUGAGGAAGGUGGGGAUGACGUCAAAUCAGCACGGCCCUCAUGUCCAGGGCUACACACGUGUUACAAUGGCCGAUACAAAGGGCAGCUACCAGGCGACUGGAUGCUAAUCUCUAAAGUCGGUCUCAGUUCGGAUCGAAGUCUGCAACCCGACUUCGUGAAGCUGGAUUCGCUAGUAAUCGCGCAUCAGCCAUGGCGCGGUGAAUACGUUCCCGGGCCUUGUACACACCG
This 932-nucleotide ribosomal RNA is filed under the name uncultured bacterium. RNAcentral's name for it is "bacterial SSU rRNA". It matches the Rfam family "Bacterial small subunit ribosomal RNA", at positions 346 to 1392 of the family's 1533-position model. The record is from RNAcentral.